ACGGAGGGUGCAAGCGUUAAUCGGAAUUACUGGGCGUAAAGCGCGCGUAGGCGGAUUGGUCAGUCGGAUGUGAAAGCCCAGGGCUCAACCUUGGAACUGCAUUCGAUACUGCCAAUCUAGAGUACGAGAGAGGGGGGUAGAAUUCAUGGUGUAGCGGUGAAAUGCGUAGAUAUCAUGAGGAAUACCGGUGGCGAAGGCGGCCCCCUGGCUCGAUACUGACGCUGAGGUGCGAAAGCGUGGGGAGCAAACAGG
This 252-nucleotide ribosomal RNA is filed under the name uncultured bacterium. Its description in RNAcentral is "partial 16S ribosomal RNA". It matches the Rfam family "Bacterial small subunit ribosomal RNA", at positions 525 to 776 of the family's 1533-position model. The record is from RNAcentral.